ACCCAGGCACCCGAAACCCUCGCCUCCGAAGUCAACAUUCUCCUCCCCCAGCGUAGCUGCUGCCGCCGACCACCCUCUGCCUCCUCCCGCUUCCCAAUCAUGUGGAGCUCUUCCUAUCCCUCUGAAUGCUUCCUCCUCUCUGGCCAGGCUGUUGGUUUGGAAGGCACACCUGGGCAGGCCGGCGGAGUCUCACUGCUGCCACGCCGAAUCGGGGAUUGCCAGCUCCCCACCGCCAUGAAUCUGCCUCAGACCACCCCUCUUGACCUCGUCUUGUCUUCCCCACUGGCCGCCGGAGAUCUCAUGACGCCUCGACCGCUUUCACUGUUCGCUGCGACGGCCCGGCCUCUGCCGGCGACACUCCUCGCGAGAGGCAGCUAGAGAACCUCCGUCUCGUUCCUUUCCUCUCCCCGCGUCCAUGUCGGCGCCCUCCCUCUCCAAACUCGCAUCACAGCACCGUAGGAAACCAGCAGCUUGGAGGAGUGCGCGAGCUACGGCAGGUCGAUGUAGAGAUUGGUCACUGGAGUAGGUUCAGCGCCGGCGGCUAAUGCUGGAGAGAAGUUGUCUCCUUCCUUCCUCCUCUCAAGCCUCUUCCACUUCUACACAAGGAACAUGGAUGGCCGUCGCGGCACCUCGCGAGAGGAGGCAGGAGGACGGCGGCGGCAGCAGUCUGCUCCCGCCCGGUGGCUAACGGGGGAGAGAGAGAGGAGGCGACAUAGUAAGGAGGAGCAGUCGGAGGAGCUAGAGAGGCAGCAGUAAGAAGAGGUGAUGUGGAAGAUCAUCUCCUUGAAACCCCCUUUCCAUCAUCCUCUGGCUUGAGGACGCCAAUGUCAUUCUUGACCAAUACAAGCCAGGCAAGGGCACUCAUAAGCUCCUCUCCUCUCUCAUCCCCUACCCACAAUUUCUCAUCUUUAUUUCUGUUGAUGUUUUGUAUCUAUGCAUAUAACGUGUUUGAGGAAAAUCCAAACAGGCUGCAGGCACAAAUUUAUGUUGUAUGCUCAACAAGAAAUAUAAACCACGAUGUGAAUAAUGAAAUGCUGAGGUGUUCAUCAUGCUGACUCAGGUUUAACAAGACAUAAACACCAGCUUCUCUAUUUUUUUUUCCUUUUCCAGUAAUUGCACUAUGAUCCUAUUCCUGGUUCUUUGUCCCGUUCCUUGUGUGAAGCAGCAAAUUUAGAUAGGGCAUACCUUUUUUUAUUCAUGCACAUUGGUGCUAGAUUAACAACUUAACUUAAUGUUGUCAAACCUUACAAAAAAUAGGGACUAGGCAAGACAGGACUUGAACACUGUACACUAUGACUUGAAAAUUGCCUUUCAACCUCGCGACCAUUUUCUCAAGUUCCAAUUAUGUUGUUAAUCAUGGGCAUGUAGUACAUAUGGUUUUGAAACUUAUCAUUUUUCACUUAUCCAGCGCCGAGUAUACUUGGCCAUCCUUUGGGCCGGGACGGGCUUCUGGUAUGGCUUCGGGCUGAAUUUUCGCUAAUCCCUGUGUAUCACUUCAGACUGUACGUACUUGUUAUUUUCAUGUUCGACAGGCUAUCAAACAUUUACUGUGUGGACCCUGCUAUAAUUUUAUAACUCUGCAGACUGCAGCCAAAGCCACAAAGGAUGCAACAUAGUUACUGUUUUAUGGGAUGUUCAACAGAAGAAGUUUGCCAAUAUGUUCUACUCAUAUUUUGUAUUUUCCUAAUAUAUCCCACUAGGAGCUCAUGUUGGUUUAAUCCUUCUUCUGACAGGAGUUAACACUACCAACAUACAUGAGUUAAUUCUGACAUGUGGGAGCUGCUGGAGGGAUUGGUGGCUACAAAUCAUUGUUUCUCUACUAUCUACAAUUUGAAAAUACUGAUUUUGGAACCAGAUUCUCCAAUUGUGAUGAUCUAAUUCUUGCGAAUAAGCUUAUGGUUACUGGCACUCGAAAUUGCAUAUUUAAUAUCAGUUUUUUCUUAUGUAAAUGGAGAUCAACAGAGGUGAUGAAAAUGAGAUGCAUGAUAUAUAUCUUUUCGGGAUCACUUAUUCUCAGGGUAACGUUUGAGAGAAGCAUGUCACAGAUCUUCAGUUGGUAGAUUUUCUCCAGUAUGGCCCACAAAAUAGCAAGGGGCAGAAUGGGAAGGCCUUUGCUGCAAAAAAUAAGGAGGGUGAAUUGGAGUGUGCUACUGAAGAUCCUCUUUGCACCCUUCAAGAAGCAUUCGAGAAGGAAUACAAGAUCCAUGGUACUUGCAAAGUGUCAGCUAAUGGUGUACUUACAGGGUAUGUGCUUUGCUACAAGUUGCGCAACAUCGGACUCAAAGCUAGAAAAAAUGAUAGUUUCCUUGGCAAACUCAAAGAUUACCUCUGAAUCGCUGUGCUACUUUUCUAUGAUUGCUUUUCUUAACUCCCAGAUAACGUACAACCAUCAGGACCGCUGGCACAUGUGUUCGAACCAUCAGUUUUUCCUAAAUAUUUCCAGUGACAUGGCUGGAGUUUUUCUUAUGCAAAUGUGUUAGACCUACAUUCCAUAUUACAUUGUUUUGUAUCUCCAUCUAGGAGAGUACAGUCAAUUUUCUAACCUAAUUCUUUAGGCCCGGAAUGGUACAAACUAACAACUACUCCUCCGUUCCAUAUUAGUUGUCGCUAAUUUGGAUGUAUCUAGACACAUUUUGUGAA
Lolium perenne is the source of this 2640-nucleotide long non-coding RNA. RefSeq lists it as uncharacterized. NCBI's taxonomy places the organism in Eukaryota, Viridiplantae, Streptophyta, Magnoliopsida, Poales, Poaceae. The record is from RefSeq and is a predicted model, not a curated record.